RNAcentral lists this ribosomal RNA (594 nucleotides) under Dietzia sp. RNAcentral's name for it is "bacterial SSU rRNA". It matches the Rfam family "Bacterial small subunit ribosomal RNA", at positions 280 to 885 of the family's 1533-position model. Lineage: Bacteria; Bacillati; Actinomycetota; Actinomycetes; Mycobacteriales; Dietziaceae. The record is from RNAcentral.
CGGGUAGCCGGCCUGAGAGGGUGAUCGGCCACACUGGGACUGAGACACGGCCCAGACUCCUACGGGAGGCAGCAGUGGGGAAUAUUGCACAAUGGGCGGAAGCCUGAUGCAGCGACGCCGCGUGGGGGAUGACGGUCUUCGGAUUGUAAACCCCUUUCAGUAGGGACGAAGCGAGAGUGACGGUACCUGCAGAAGAAGCACCGGCCAACUACGUGCCAGCAGCCGCGGUAAUACGUAGGGUGCGAGCGUUGUCCGGAAUUACUGGGCGUAAAGAGCUCGUAGGCGGUUUGUCACGUCGUCUGUGAAAUCCUCCAGCUCAACUGGGGGCGUGCAGGCGAUACGGGCUGACUUGAGUACUACAGGGGAGACUGGAAUUCCUGGUGUAGCGGUGAAAUGCGCAGAUAUCAGGAGGAACACCGGUGGCGAAGGCGGGUCUCUGGGUAGUAACUGACGCUGAGGAGCGAAAGCAUGGGGAGCAAACAGGAUUAGAUACCCUGGUAGUCCAUGCCGUAAACGGUGGGCGCUAGGUGUGGGGUCCUUCCACGGAUUCCGUGCCGUAGCUAACGCAUUAAGCGCCCCGCCUGGGGAGUACGG